This 400-nucleotide ribosomal RNA is filed under the name uncultured bacterium. Its description in RNAcentral is "bacterial SSU rRNA". It matches the Rfam family "Bacterial small subunit ribosomal RNA", at positions 356 to 773 of the family's 1533-position model. The record is from RNAcentral.
GGGGAAUAUUGCGCAAUGGGGGAAACCCUGACGCAGCAACGCCGCGUGAAGGAUGAAGGCUUUCGGGUUGUAAACUUCUUUGAUCGGGGACGAAAAUGACGGUACCCGAGGAACAAGCCACGGCUAACUACGUGCCAGCAGCCGCGGUAAUACGUAGGUGGCAAGCGUUGUCCGGAAUUACUGGGUGUAAAGGGCGUGUAGGCGGGACGGCAAGUCAGAUGUGAAAUACCUCGGCUUAACUGGGGUGCUGCAACUGAAACUGUCGUUCUUGAGUGUCGGAGAGGAAAGUGGAAUUCCCAGUGUAGCGGUGAAAUGCGUAGAGAUUGGGAGGAACACCAGUGGCGAAGGCGGCUUUCUGGACGAUAACUGACGCUGAGGCGCGAAAGCGUGGGUAGCAAAC